UCUAAGUAAUUAACAAAUUAAAAAUUGGUCUUUGCCAUUUGUGUGAUUCUCAUUGGACAAACUCAAAUACUUUUGUACUUCCAUUGGUACGAUUCCCAAAAUUUUACUUCUUCCUUCAUCCUCUCUCUUGCAGACAACAUGACCUUUCCUUUCUCUAUCGUUCUCUCGCCUCUCCAAACACCACACCCCCCAAACCCUAGAUCACUAUCUCUCUAUCUCUUCCGCGCCGCCCCUAUUCCUUUAACUUUUCGCCUCUAUUCCUCUAAUUUCACAAAUCUGUUUCUCUAUCCAAUAGCAUAUUUCUAUCUAUCUCUCCAAACCCUAGAAUCUUCGUUACCGAAAACAAUGGAACCGAAGAAGGUGAAGGUUGCAAAAUAUAUUUCCAAUUUUUCUUCAUAUAGAGGGAUUAUUUGUCUAUGGUGGUCGUUCCCCCUGCUUGCGUAAUCUAAUGGUUUAUUUAUUUCCUUUUUUCUUCGUUUGCUACUGGUUUUCUUAAGGUUAUAACAAAGAUAGCAUUUUGUUUUGGAUUUGUUGAACUGAAAAUAUUGAUGUUGGUUUUGAAUGGCUUCCCAUUGCAGUUUGUGUAGAGCAACAAUAAGUGGCUUACGAGGUCGCAGGUUGAUGAAGAAGCUCAUUAUUUGUCUAAUCUACAAAAGCAUUUCUCUAUGAAAGUUUAAACUGUUCAUCAUCUUCCACGGGUAGAGCAAAAGACUUUAUUGGUUCUUUCUCUGCAAAUUCAGGUGGUACUGAUGACUCCGGCUAAGAAGAGACUUAUGAGAGGUUUUAAUGAUUGCAACAAGAUCCACCUAUAGAGAGAAGUGAUGCUCUUCAGGAUAACAAUAUAUUAUGGAAUGCUAUCAUAUUUGGGUGAUUUAGAUUGAUAAUUGUAUAAAAGCUGCAAAUGGUUAUGUAUACUUGUAUAAUAUAGUCACUUUUGUUUUAUUUUA
Long non-coding RNA from Vicia villosa (hairy vetch), 947 nucleotides. RefSeq lists it as uncharacterized. The transcript has 3 exons. The record is from RefSeq and is a predicted model, not a curated record. Lineage: Eukaryota; Viridiplantae; Streptophyta; Magnoliopsida; Fabales; Fabaceae.